Molecule: long non-coding RNA, 2350 nt
Filed under: Fragaria vesca (wild strawberry)
Lineage: Eukaryota; Viridiplantae; Streptophyta; Magnoliopsida; Rosales; Rosaceae
Description: long non-coding RNA (FVES_LNC001031)
Source: RNAcentral
GUAGAUUCGGCCAACGCCGGUGUGAAUCUUAUAUACCUCUCCCUCCUUUUCAUUUCGAUGUCUUACCUACCUGAAUGAAGCCCUAACUCAGGAAUCCCUUUUCCUCUAUUUUCCGGGUUCAUGUCGGGGUCUUCCGGCAACGAUGUUCUUCGGGCUUCCGGCAAGCUCAACAAGCUGAGGAGAGUCUAGCUUCGAGUUGGAGAAUGUUAGAUGGAGAUUGAGUCGUUUUGGGCAGACUGGAGCUGAGGGUUAUAUUUUUGGGUUGCUGUGUUGUUGUUCUUAGCUGUAGGUGGUAUUAAUCAGUUUUCUUUUCUGAUGCAAAUCGACACCAUGUCAGAUUUGGAAUUGAAACAGCAAAGCGAAGCUUUUGUGUUGGUUGACAAGGGUAAGGAUUUCCCUUGUUUUGGCUACUGUCGAAAGGAAAGGGCUAGCAGCUGUGGUGCUCUUGGCUAAGGAGUUAAGUUGAGCCUCAAUUCUCUCUUAAACCCCUUUUGAUCGAUAGGUGAGUUGAUCUUUGAUUUCUGAAAGUUAAUGUUUUGCUUAGUUGCUAGUUUCUGAGUUUCGGUGACGACUUGGUUGUUGUUUGGUUACUGUUUUGUGAAGGAAGAAACUUUAGGAGGACUCAUUGUUGUCAAUUAUACACUUGGGUGUAGAGAGUAAAUAAUGGAGUUUCGGUUCGAUCUAAUUAGAUGAUGUUUAUUGCUCAAUGAUAUGUUAAUAAACCCAGGUUGUAUUUCAUUGUAAUGAGUAUACAUCCAUUUGAUUGAACCAAUUAUAUUUUGGGAUUUUCUAGUUUAACUUCUUCCUUUGAGAUAUCUUUGAAUUGGAAAUAACAACUAAGAGAGGAUAUGAACGUUGAUGGAUAUUUUUACUAUGCUCCACACUGCAUAGAUUUACCAAGCAAAGUGAUACAAAUUUUGAUUAUGUUUGUUCUCUGGUUACAAAAAUGGAUAUGCAGGCAUUACAACAAUGCAUUUUGUGCCAAGGUUGGGGGAGUAAGCAAUGCCGAAUUGAACAGACUAAAAGUGGAGUUCCUUUUCCUGCUGGAUUUUGGAGUCACAGUCAGCUCCAGUGUCUUUGAGAGCUAUUGCUUUCACUUGAAAAAGGAAAUGAUGCUGAAUGGGGCAUGCCAAACAAUUGAAAGGGCUUUAGUACUCCCCAUUAUAGAUGUGGCUGAUGUGCCUGAAAUUGGUUUAAGUUGGUUUCUUUUGGGUUCUUUGUACUUGUUUUGUGUCAAGUGCAUAUUACAUUUUUGCUGCAUUGUUAUUUUCAUUUUGUAUUGUAACUUGGAUACUCACUUUGAUGAGUAUUGUAACUAAGGGUAUAUAUCUUAAUGAAACCAGUAGUAUAUUGUCUCCAAUGUGUUGUGAAAACAAAGAGAUUUGAUUUCUAAAUUUAAUCAAAUGGAGAGUUUAAAUCAAAAGAAUGCAUCACUUAUAUAUAUGUAGCUCAAGCUCAUUCAUACGAUAGAUAAAUGUCGCCUGAAAAUGUCGAAAGCCUAAAAGAUAUCACGUAGUAAAAGCUUAAAGCAUAUCAGACGACAGAUACCUAUUGUCACUACAAAAAAGAAUUCAGUUAGCCACCCCAAAUUGCCACGGUGCGGAUUUGACGUCGCCAUUGGUCCAAGUUUCGCGAUGGCGCUACGUCAGCAACGCUUCCGACAACUCAGCAACACACACAUACUCAUAUAUGUAUAAUGGGAAUUCACAAAGCAUGGCGGUGGUAGUCAUUUCUGCUAUUUUCACAACAGUAGUUCCAUUUCGAUGCAGCUAAGCUUCCAACAAAUUUGUUUUGCUAAUAGAUAUUGAUUGUUAUUGAAUUCUUACCAUCAGGAUGAGUCCGUUCUGAUAUGGUUCUCAGGGAAGGAGGAGAAACACCUUAAACUAAGCCAUGUUUCUAGAAUUAUUUCCGGGCAACGCACUAUAAGUCUCUUUGUAUAUACAACAUCUAUAUUAUAUAUACUUGCAUUGUUAGUAGUGUAUUAUAAAGUUGUUAUGUCAUUAGUGCAUGACAAAUUAAAUGUUGUUGGUUUAAUCAUGGCUCUUGCUCCUUAAGUUUGUUUAAGGUUCAUACAACAGUUUAUUUUGUUGCAUGCCUUUGUAUAUUGUGAGCAUGCCACUUUACAUUGCUUAGUCUUAUCCAGCUGUGUAUAUACUGUUCAGUGUGCCUAUUAUGAGUAUGAUAUAAAACAACAGUUUCGUCCAUAUGUUGCCUCUAAGCUAUCAACGUUUUAUCUAAGCAUCUAGUUUAUCAAGACUCUAAGCUAUCAACGUUUUAUCUAAGCAUCUAGUUUAUCAAGAAGUUCUAAGCUAUCGACUUUACUUUUUGAGUUACUGUUAAAGUGUAAAUU